RNAcentral lists this long non-coding RNA (220 nucleotides) under Musa acuminata (dwarf banana). RNAcentral describes it as "long non-coding RNA (MACU_LNC007339)". Lineage: Eukaryota; Viridiplantae; Streptophyta; Magnoliopsida; Zingiberales; Musaceae. The record is from RNAcentral.
GAGGAACAUGUCAGAAGAUUGGACGUCGGGCCGGUGGAUCGGUCGACGUAUCGACAGAAGGCUUUGGGCCGUGGACUCGGGCAUCGGGCCAAGAAGAGCGGGUAUUGUGCCAAGGAUAUCGGAGUUGCGGAGUCAACUGGCCGAUUGGGCAAUAGGCUGCAGGAAAGGACGAUGCGCUGAAGAAUCGGACGAAGCGUCGAGGGACCAAUGACAUGCCGGA